Molecule: non-coding RNA, 45 nt
Filed under: Echinostoma caproni
Lineage: Eukaryota; Metazoa; Platyhelminthes; Trematoda; Plagiorchiida; Echinostomatidae
Source: RNAcentral
GCACAGCUGACAAGUUCCAAACAGGACGAAACAACUGUCCAGUGC